UACGUAGGGUGCGAGCGUUAAUCGGAAUUACUGGGCGUAAAGCGUGCGCAGGCGGUUUGCUAAGACAGGUGUGAAAUCCCCGGGCUCAACCUGGGAACUGCGCUUGUAACUAGCAGGCUAGAGUGCGGCAGAGGGGGGUGGAAUUCCACGUGUAGCAGUGAAAUGCGUAGAUAUGUGGAGGAACACCGAUGGCGAAGGCAGCCCCCUGGGUCGACACUGACGCUCAUGCACAAAAGCGUGGGGAGCAAACAGG
RNAcentral lists this ribosomal RNA (253 nucleotides) under uncultured bacterium. Its description in RNAcentral is "partial 16S ribosomal RNA". It matches the Rfam family "Bacterial small subunit ribosomal RNA", at positions 524 to 776 of the family's 1533-position model. The record is from RNAcentral.